CUAACUCCCUCGUGAGCUGGAGGGCGUCAGCAGCUGCAAGCCUGGCAUCCAGGUAAGACAAUGCGGAGAGGGAGAGGCUUUUCCCGCACGUCCCUAUUUCCAGCAGAGGAAUUUGUUCCCAAAAGACUUGCCCUCUUAUCUCACGGGCCAGGACUGGUUCACAUGCCCCUUCCUAAGCUACCCCCACUGGCAAGGAGGAUGGGGUUGCCGUGCUCACAUGGGCUCUCCGUUCAGGAAUAGUCCCGCUCUCGCUCGGGGAAGGAUAGAGACCAGACAGUCUCUGCCAGGGCUCUGGAGCACUCAACAGUACAGGAGUUCUCAAUAUGAAGGUUGCUGGUGACUCUUUACAGUGGCAAAAGCCUUGGAGUUUUCCACCUAGGGGAGGGUUUCCUUUCUGCUGUAGCCAUCUCAAAUAGUUUUCCAUCUUCUGUUUAAAUUUUCAGUGAUGGGGCUCGAUUAUUUUGAGGACCUUUGAUUUCUCCUCCUCCUCAUUGACCCUUCCCGGCACCCAUAGCAGGCAGUGGAAGGAGGAGACGCCAGCAUCUGGAGUAGGAAGCCUCGUAAAGAGGGUCCCCUGCGCACCUGCGGCGGGGCUCACCCCAGGCUCGUGCCAGGAGUUGCUGGGCGUGAGCACACUCGCUGUGAGUCGGCUGUGCCCGCCCUCCUCUGUCUCCUUGUCCAGCUCCUGUGACCCAAACCAUUGCAUGUGCUGGCCUCCCUUCCACCCUGCUUCCCCUGAUGUUUUUCCACCUCUCCCCUAGUAACUAUCACACCAACAUUUCACCUUAACGUUAUUGAAAAUGUGCCACUUUAAAAGAUUAGGCUCACCUUGCUUGUCAGUCCUGCCGGCAAAUACCCCACCCUCCACAACCGCCAAAGGCCACUGUCCUCAGCUCUUUUAAAUGAAUGGAAAAACUUUAAGGUCUUUCAAGACCAGAUUUAGGAGCCACUAAAAAUAUGACCCAUUUACUCUGAACUCUGGGCGAAUCAAUUGACCCUCCGUAGGUCCUAUGUCUACAGAGAUUUACGCCCCGACCUUCCACCUGCUUCUAGAGAAGUUCACGUUUGUUCAGCAGCAUUGGAAAAUGCACACGACAUUUAUUUCCUGCUCUAACAGCCUUCUUGGAAGUUUCAGAAAUAGUCUAUUAUCCAUCCAAGGUGGAGGAGAAAUAACAGUGGCAUUAACCUCGCUGCAGUGUGAGCUAACCUUUUUAAAUGGACGUCAUUCAAAAAGGCAGCACUAAAAGCUGAGCCUCCUCCCGAAGAGAACCGGGGCCUUGAAGAGCAAGGAGGACGGGGCCUCGAGGCGCUCUGCACGGUGCCCUUGGCCGGCUGGGGUUGUGGACGCGAGAGAGCACUGCGGACGCAGGCAGCCGGCGUGGCCGAGAGCUCACGGGCAGUCUGUGACGUGCGGGGGAGCCAGGGCUCCUCAGGGAAUCGGUGGCAGGUCCCCACUGAGGCUCCGCAGAGAAGCUGGAGGUGCCCGUCUUCCCCGACAGUGUGAGCUGCCUUUCAGGCCCCCACAGUGCUGCCUUCUCCUCUAGGCAGGAGCUCCUCACCCCACUUCCUGACACGGAGAGCAGGAGCCUGGUGAAAUGGCUUAUUGGGGAGGGGCAGUUUGUCUUUCCAACAGACACUAAAUCAGACCCUACGCUGAAACCUGAGUGCACACCCACAUUCCCCGGGAGCUUGCUGAACGUGCAGACUGCAGAAGCUCGUCUCUAGACACUUUGAUCUGAUGUAGAAGAGCAGUUUUCCCAGAGACAGGCAGGGGCAGGCCUAGGCAAUAAGACCUCCUGGAGCCGUUUCUUCUGUCCCAUGAUGGCAAACGUAGUGUACGGGACAGGUUGGCUCACGAGCUGCUUUGUUAGCUGUGCGGGACCUCCGGGAACAGUGACGUCCAAAGAGGUUAGUUCAUGAGAAAUUUGGAUGCUGCUCUACUCUGUCCCAAACCAUGUGUCUAGGUUUUGAGGAUGCUGAAAGUUCUCAGGGCAUUCCUAACGCAUGGUGUUGCGUGCGGGAUUAAAUACGAUGGUUGACAUGGAAGCUCUUUGAAAUAGAAACACUGUACAAAGGAGUCGUGGUUGGUAUAUUAUGCAAGCUCCUGCCAGAUCUGCCUUAUUGAAGCAGUGCUUUCAACCUCACAAGGACCACAAUAGUGCUGAGUGUUCCUCAGGCCAGGACGCUGAGGAUGCCGCCCACGUGUGUUUGCAACGGUCCUCACUGCCGCACCAAGGAGGGACAGGACACGCGUGCACAGUGAUGGCGGGCGGCGGGCCCAAAUCCUGCACCUCUGCAUUUAAGCACCGUGUACUGUGCUGCCUUUUGCUCGUCCCUUGUAAUACAUUCAUUCCUGCUACAGGUGGGAUGCAUUUGCAGAGAUGCUGUAGUUCAGCCUCAUCCCAUCGUAGACACGGGCCCUGCACCAUGCCCUGCACACAGCGACUGCCCCUCCUCGGCACCCCUUCUGCUCCGACUGGGACAGUCUCCCUCCCGCGGCACAGUCCUGGGGAGGCUGCCACAACAAGACUGAGGCUGCCCGGGCCGCAGGAACCUGCUUCCCUCCACCCCUUCGUUCAGUUCCUAUAAAUGAAAGCGUGGAAACGCUCUGGAGACUUUUGGCUUUUGCCGUUGCCUGCACUGCUGCUUUCCAACGCAGAGAGGAUCUGAGCAGAGAAAAUGCCUCAGUAAAAGAAAAGAUAAAUUAAUCGACUGUCAAAAUCCCUGUCAAG
Molecule: non-coding RNA, 2732 nt
Organism: Microcebus murinus (gray mouse lemur)
Lineage: Eukaryota; Metazoa; Chordata; Mammalia; Primates; Cheirogaleidae
Source: RefSeq, a predicted model, not a curated record